GUUACUUUUUAUACCAAUCUCGUUCUCUAGUCUCAGUAUAAGAAAGCCAUAAACCUUUCUUGCCCCUCCCUUCACAUGAAGCCUCAUAUGCCAAACUUAAAAUUCAGUUUGUAGACUAUGCCCUAUACACACAGCCAUUAACUAUACACCUCCUGCUCAAAAAGUCUCCCCUCUCUCCUGUUAACCCUUUCCUUACGUUCCAACCCAAGAUUCCUCCCGGUUGCUUCCUGCCAGUGGAUGCUGUCCCUAUUCAUCCUGCAACAUCAGCACCAAUUCACAACCUAGCUCCGCCCAAAGCAUCCCCCUCUGCCAAUAGCAGCCCGGCCACGCUAUUCUCAAG
This is a non-coding RNA of Pelobates cultripes (western spadefoot toad), 340 nucleotides long. Lineage: Eukaryota; Metazoa; Chordata; Amphibia; Anura; Pelobatidae. The record is from the annotation of a GenBank genome assembly.